This 490-nucleotide ribosomal RNA is filed under the name uncultured bacterium. RNAcentral describes it as "partial 16S ribosomal RNA". It matches the Rfam family "Bacterial small subunit ribosomal RNA", at positions 28 to 507 of the family's 1533-position model. The record is from RNAcentral.
GAUGAACGCUAGCUACAGGCUUAACACAUGCAAGUCGCGGGGCAGCAUGGGGGUUGCUUGCAAUCCCCGAUGGCGACCGGCGCACGGGUGAGUAACGCGUAUCCAACCUGCCCUUCACCACGGGAUAACCCGGCGAAAGUCGGACUAAUACCGUAUGUUGUCCAUUGACGGCAUCCGAUUUGGACGCAGGGCUUGGCGGUGAGGGAUGGGGAUGCGUCCGAUUAGCCAGACGGCGGGGUAACGGCCCACCGUGGCUACGAUCGGUAGGGGUUCUGAGAGGAAGGUCCCCCACACUGGAACUGAGACACGGUCCAGACUCCUACGGGAGGCAGCAGUGAGGAAUAUUGGUCAAUGGGCGUAAGCCUGAACCAGCCAAGUAGCGUGCAGGAUGACGGCCCUAUGGGUUGUAAACUGCUUUUAUGCGGGGAUAAAGUGGCCCACGUGUGGGCUUUUGCAGGUACCGCAUGAAUAAGGACCGGCUAAUUCCGUG